GUGGGGAAUUUUGGACAAUGGGCGCAAGCCUGAUCCAGCCAUUCCGCGUGCAGGAUGAAGGCCUUCGGGUUGUAAACUGCUUUUGUACGGAACGAAAAGCCUCUGGUUAAUACCCGGGGGUCAUGACGGUACCGUAAGAAUAAGCACCGGCUAACUACGUGCCAGCAGCCGCGGUAAUACGUAGGGUGCGAGCGUUAAUCGGAAUUACUGGGCGUAAAGCGUGCGCAGGCGGUGAUGUAAGACAGUUGUGAAAUCCCCGGGCUCAACCUGGGAACUGCAUCUGUGACUGCAUUGCUGGAGUGCGGCAGAGGGGGAUGGAAUUCCGCGUGUAGCAGUGAAAUGCGUAGAUAUCGAGAGGAACACUAGUGGCGAAGGCGAGACUCUGGACAAUUACUGACGCUGAGAGACGAAGGCCAGGGGAGCGAAAAGGAUUAGAAACCCUAGUAGUCC
This 450-nucleotide ribosomal RNA is filed under the name uncultured bacterium. RNAcentral's name for it is "partial 16S ribosomal RNA". It matches the Rfam family "Bacterial small subunit ribosomal RNA", at positions 354 to 796 of the family's 1533-position model. The record is from RNAcentral.